This 253-nucleotide ribosomal RNA is filed under the name uncultured prokaryote. Its description in RNAcentral is "partial 16S ribosomal RNA". It matches the Rfam family "Bacterial small subunit ribosomal RNA", at positions 525 to 777 of the family's 1533-position model. The record is from RNAcentral.
ACAGAGGUCUCAAGCGUUGUUCGGAUUCAUUGGGCGUAAAGGGUGCGUAGGUGGCGGGGCAAGUCUGGUGUGAAAUCCCGGGGCUCAACCCCGGAACUGCACUGGAUACUGCCUUGCUAGAGCACUGGAGAGGGAACUGGAAUUUACGGUGUAGCAGUGAAAUGCGUAGAUAUCGGGAGGAACAUCUGUGGCGAAGGCGACUACCUGGACCAGCACUGACACUGAGGCACGAAAGCGUGGGGAGCAAACAGGA